UGAUGCUUGCAUCCGCUGACGACCGGCGCACGGGUGCGUAACGCGUAUACAAUCUGCCUUGUACUGAGGGAUAGCCUUUGGAAACGAAGAUUAAUACCUCAUGGUAUAUAUAAAUGGCAUCAUUUAUAUAUUAAAGGUUACGGUACAAGAUGAGUAUGCGUCCUAUUAGCUAGAUGGUGUGGUAACGGCACACCAUGGCAACGAUAGGUAGGGGCCCUGAGAGGGGGAUCCCCCACACUGGUACUGAGACACGGACCAGACUCCUACGGGAGGCAGCAGUGAGGAGUAUUGGGCAAUGGAGGCAACUCUGACCCAGCCAUGCCGCGUGCAGGAAGACUGCCCUAUGGGUUGUAAACUGCUUUUAUACAGGAAGAAACACUCCCACGUGUGGGGGCUUGACGGUACUGUAAGAAUAAGGAUCGGCUAACUCCGUGCCAGCAGCCGCGGUAAUACGGAGGAUCCAAGCGUUAUCCGGAAUCAUUGGGUUUAAAGGGUCCGUAGGUGGAUUAAUAAGUCAGAGGUGAAAUCCUGCAGCUCAACUGUAGAACUGCCUUUGAUACUGUUAAUCUUGAGUCAUUAUGAAGUGGUUAGAAUGUGUAGUGUAGCGGUGAAAUGCAUAGAUAUUACACAGAAUACCGAUUGCGAAGGCAGAUCACUAAUAAUGUACUGACACUGAGGGACGAAAGCGUGGGGAGCGAACAGGACUAGAUACCCUGGUAGUCCACGCCGUAAACGAUGGUCACUAGCUGUUCGGACUUCGGUCUGAGUGGCUAAGCGAAAGUGAUAAGUGACCCACCUGGGGAGUACGUUCGCAAGAAUGAAACUCAAAGGAAUUGACGGGGGCCCGCACAAGCGGUGGAGCAUGUGGUUUAAUUCGAUGAUACGCGAGGAACCUUACCAGGGCUUAAAUGUAAGUUGCAUUAGCUAGAGAUAGCUAUUUCUUCGGACUACUUACAAGUGCUGCAUGGUUGUCGUCAGCUCGUGCCGUGAGGUGUCAGUUAAGUCCUAUACGAGCGCA
This 1018-nucleotide ribosomal RNA is filed under the name uncultured bacterium. Its description in RNAcentral is "bacterial SSU rRNA". It matches the Rfam family "Bacterial small subunit ribosomal RNA", at positions 74 to 1100 of the family's 1533-position model. The record is from RNAcentral.